GAGAGCCGUGUGCGGGAAAACCGCACGCACGGUUCGGAGGGAAGGGCGGGCCAAACCCGUCCCUACCCCUAU
Molecule: non-coding RNA, 72 nt
Filed under: Candidatus Kentrum sp. LPFa
Lineage: Bacteria; Pseudomonadati; Pseudomonadota; Gammaproteobacteria
Source: RNAcentral